RNAcentral lists this transfer RNA (70 nucleotides) under Bupleurum rockii. RNAcentral's name for it is "partial tRNA-Leu". Lineage: Eukaryota; Viridiplantae; Streptophyta; Magnoliopsida; Apiales; Apiaceae. The record is from RNAcentral.
UUACUAUAAAUUUCAUUGUUGCCGGUAUUGACAUGUAGAAUAGGACUCUAUCUUUAUUCUCGUCCGAUUA